GCCAGACACGGUGGUGCAUUCCUGUAGUCCUAGCUACUUGGGAGGCUGAGACAGGAUUGCCUGAGUCCAGGAGUUCUGGGUUGUAGUGCACUAAUCUGAUCAGGUGUCCACAUUAAGUUUGGCAUAAAUAUGGUGACCUCCCAGGAAUGGGGGGCCACCAGGUUGCCCAAGGAGGGGUGAACUGGCCCAGGUGGGAAAACGCAGCAAGUCAAAAUUCCCAUGCUGAUCAGUAGUGGGAUUGCACCUCUAAAUAGCCACUGCACUCCAGCCUGGGCAACAUAGUGAGACCCCUUCUCUA
Otolemur garnettii (small-eared galago) is the source of this 298-nucleotide non-coding RNA. NCBI's taxonomy places the organism in Eukaryota, Metazoa, Chordata, Mammalia, Primates, Galagidae. The record is from Rfam.